RNAcentral lists this non-coding RNA (46 nucleotides) under Schistosoma mattheei. The record is from RNAcentral. Lineage: Eukaryota; Metazoa; Platyhelminthes; Trematoda; Strigeidida; Schistosomatidae.
GCACUGCUGAGGAGUCCCAUAAUAGGACGAAACAGCUGUUCAGUGC